UACGGAGGGAGCUAGCGUUGUUCGGAAUUACUGGGCGUAAAGCGCACGUAGGCGGCUUUGUAAGUUAGAGGUGAAAGCCCGGGGCUCAACCCCGGAAUUGCCUUUAAGACUGCAUCGCUUGAAUCCGGGAGAGGUGAGUGGAAUUCCGAGUGUAGCGGUGGAAUGCGUAGAGAUCCGGAAGAACACCGGUGGCGAAGGCGGCCCGCUGGGCUGUUGCUGACGCUGAGGCGCGACAGCGUGGGGAGCAAACAGG
This 253-nucleotide ribosomal RNA is filed under the name uncultured bacterium. Its description in RNAcentral is "partial 16S ribosomal RNA". It matches the Rfam family "Bacterial small subunit ribosomal RNA", at positions 524 to 776 of the family's 1533-position model. The record is from RNAcentral.